Molecule: ribosomal RNA, 253 nt
Filed under: uncultured bacterium
Lineage: Bacteria
Description: partial 16S ribosomal RNA
Rfam family: Bacterial small subunit ribosomal RNA
Source: RNAcentral
UACGGAGGGUGCAAGCGUUAUCCGGAUUCACUGGGUUUAAAGGGUGCGUAGGUGGAAUGGUAAGUCAGUGGUGAAAUCUCCAAGCUUAACUUGGAAACUGCCGUUGAUACUAUCAUUCUUGAAUAUCGUGGAGGUAAGCGGAAUAUGUCAUGUAGCGGUGAAACGCUUAGAUAUGACAUAGAACACCGAUUGCGAAGGCAGCUUGCUACACGAUCAUUGACACUGAGGCACGAAAGCGUGGGGAUCAAACAGG